UGUAUUCACUACUGUAAGUUGCUCUGGAUAAGAGCGUCUGCUAAAAUGUGUAAA
Molecule: non-coding RNA, 54 nt
Organism: Salmo salar (Atlantic salmon)
Lineage: Eukaryota; Metazoa; Chordata; Actinopteri; Salmoniformes; Salmonidae
Source: Rfam